Long non-coding RNA from Sus scrofa (pig), 1159 nucleotides. RefSeq lists it as uncharacterized. The record is from RefSeq and is a predicted model, not a curated record. NCBI's taxonomy places the organism in Eukaryota, Metazoa, Chordata, Mammalia, Artiodactyla, Suidae.
ACUUCGAAAAGUGAAAAAAGCCCCACAGCUUUAGAAUAUAUUUGGCAGGAGCAAAAUUCUUUCUAGACAUUAAGAUAAAGUCCAUGCUUAAUUUCCUCUUGAACACUAAAGGUUUUGCAGGUUUUGCAGGCUUUGCAUAGAGUAGAUUUUAGGCCUGUGUGCAGCCACGGACAUACACGCCCUUGACUUUGUCUCGGCGCCCAUGUCCGCACGGCGUGGUCCUCAAGGCCGCUGUGUCCCUGGACAUGCAGCCUGCCAAGUUCCCUGGUGUCCAGCUGUGCUCCCUGUUCUCGCCUUCUCCUCUGUUCUGCACGUUGCUGGAAGGUCUGCCGGUGUUUCCCUAUCAAGCCUGUGGAGGAACAUAAACAUUUCGCCUUUUCUGGACGAGACUUCCAGAAUGUAGCUCCGAAGAAAGAAAAGGCAGCUACACGUUGUUUGCCUGCAGCCUGGUUGGCUGUUUAUGUCUACACAAAGCAUUUGCCCCAGAAGGGACCGCGUACAGCUCUAGGCAUCCAAGAAAACAAAGCAUCUCAACAUCAGGGCUCCUGCACCCCCCCCCCCACUGCCGCCCCGGGGCAGCCAGACCAAGAAUGGGAGUGGAUCCUUGACUGGAAAGCUCCAAAUUGGAGCCCCGAAGGUUCUGCCCUGGGUUCCUGGAGAUGGUGGUUUGUGGAUCUGGAAGUCCUGUCUGGCUUCCGACGAGUCCUUUGUAGUUAUGCUACCCAUUCCAAGUUUUUAAAAUAAGGGUUAUUAGCAGAUGAUUCCAAAAGGAAACUUCUGGAAGCUGAUAAAAAUGGACUCCUUUAGGCUCUGAGGAAGAAUGGGGGUUUGCGCUGUUAUUCCUCCACAGAGCCUUUUACAGAGGCAUGGUGACAUUUUAAAAGGCAAGGCAGGGUCUAGAGAGCAUGAUUGUGAAAGAUGCUUGCUGCCUUGAACACAGUAAGGCAAACGAAGUGCCGGAUGCUGCGCCGCCCGUGCUCCCACCCCCAUCUCCCUUCCCUCUUUCCCAGUUUCCUGGCCAGCUUAAAUCAUCCUGGUUGUUGCUGUCUCCAGGGGUUAAAUUUCUGACUGCAAAUAAAAGGUUUCUCUCUCAGGGCUACUGCUUUGGGUCAUCUCAGCCUAUCAAUAGAAAUACUAUCAGCCAAGAAUGCCUGGGGCG